AUGGGCACGGAGGUGCUCCCGACCCUUGACAACAAGGGCAAGCAACCGAUUCAUCCAAUGCCCGAGGUGGUGCUGCCGCCGACUGCCGAGGAAGAACAGAAGACACCAACGGUUGGUGGCGACGAGCGCAUGGAGGAGCCCCCCCCCCCCAGUAGCAAGCGCCGCAACUACGACCGCUACCAUCAGGAGGGUGGCCCAACUCACACUACUAGGGAAAAGCCUAGCAGUAGCGCGUGUUUUAGGCCUAUUAGUAGCGCGGGGAGGGGCGCUACUGGUACGGUACUACAGCUAAAGGUAAAAUAG
RNAcentral lists this ribosomal RNA (303 nucleotides) under Triticum aestivum (bread wheat). Its description in RNAcentral is "partial small subunit ribosomal RNA". Lineage: Eukaryota; Viridiplantae; Streptophyta; Magnoliopsida; Poales; Poaceae. The record is from RNAcentral.